Molecule: small RNA, 628 nt
Filed under: Schinkia azotoformans LMG 9581
Lineage: Bacteria; Bacillati; Bacillota; Bacilli; Caryophanales; Bacillaceae
Source: RNAcentral
CAUAGUAACAAUUGGAGUGGUGCAGUAUUCUAGUCAGUCUACUAAUUCUGAAGGCGGGCCUAAAAAUCCGCUAAAGGGCACAUCGAUGAAGUUCCUUGUGUUGGCUUGAGGCGCCCAGCCUUGGGUUGAUGCUGGGAGUUAAGGUCGAAGGGCGAUCCACAAAGGCAUGUGGGCGUUGACCCUUCUUCCGCGGAGGCCCAUUUUCGUAGGUUAUUGUUAAAUCAAAUUCCUAUGGGAUGGGGUAUGAACCUGUUUUUGCAAUGCGGGAAGCAAUGUAAGCAGCGUAGCCUGCCUUGAGUGGAGUUAGAGGGGAUUAUGGGAAAAGCUAGGGUUCACGAGUAGGCCACUCAGACCUUUAGAAAUGAGUCCAUAUGAAAUCUGCUCUGCAAAAGAGGCUAGGAAUUAGUUAAAGGCUGUAGAGGAAAACUCCUAGACUGUUCAACAUUGACAUAUAAUGGGGAUUAUAGUGCGGACUAAGUGGUAAUCCAGUCUAGCUGCUGGCGACACAGCUAAGGUAGGUUCAAAGGGAAACCGCCAUAGUGGCAACACUUGGUACUUACUUGGGAAAACCUACUGGACCUAAGCCGCAGUUUUUACCCAAUAUAUGACCACUCCCCAUACAUAUACA